RNAcentral lists this ribosomal RNA (492 nucleotides) under uncultured bacterium. Its description in RNAcentral is "partial 16S ribosomal RNA". It matches the Rfam family "Bacterial small subunit ribosomal RNA", at positions 29 to 507 of the family's 1533-position model. The record is from RNAcentral.
AGUGAACGCUGGCGGUAGGCCUAACACAUGCAAGUCGAACGGCAGCACAGUAAGAGCUUGCUCUUACGGGUGGCGAGUGGCGGACGGGUGAGGAAUACAUCGGAAUCUACUUUUUCGUGGGGGAUAACGUAGGGAAACUUACGCUAAUACCGCAUACGACCUACGGGUGAAAGCAGGGGAUCUUCGGACCUUGCGCGAUUGAAUGAGCCGAUGUCGGAUUAGCUAGUUGGCGGGGUAAAGGCCCACCAAGGCGACGAUCCGUAGCUGGUCUGAGAGGAUGAUCAGCCACACUGGAACUGAGACACGGUCCAGACUCCUACGGGAGGCAGCAGUGGGGAAUAUUGGACGAUGGGCGCGAGCCUGAUCCAGCCAUACCGCGUGGGUGAAGAAGGCCUUCGGGUUGUAAAGCCCUUUUGUUGGGAAAGAAAAGCAGCAGGUUAAUACCCCGCUGUUCUGACGGUACCCAAAGAAUAAGCACCGGCUAACUUCGUG